RNAcentral lists this ribosomal RNA (250 nucleotides) under uncultured bacterium. RNAcentral describes it as "partial 16S ribosomal RNA". It matches the Rfam family "Bacterial small subunit ribosomal RNA", at positions 338 to 605 of the family's 1533-position model. The record is from RNAcentral.
CCUACGGGGGGCAGCAGUGGGGAAUAUUGCACAAUGGGGGAAACCCUGAUGCAGCGACGCCGCGUGAGUGAAGAAGUAAUUCGUUAUGUAAAGCUCUAUCAGCAGGGAAGAAAAUGACGGUACCUGACUAAGAAGCCCCGGCUAACUACGUGCCAGCAGCCGCGGUAAUACGUAGGGGGCAAGCGUUAUCCGGAUUUACUGGGUGUAAAGGGAGCGUAGACGGCGGAACACGUCAGAAGUGAAAACCCGG